RNAcentral lists this ribosomal RNA (490 nucleotides) under uncultured bacterium. RNAcentral's name for it is "partial 16S ribosomal RNA". It matches the Rfam family "Bacterial small subunit ribosomal RNA", at positions 28 to 507 of the family's 1533-position model. The record is from RNAcentral.
GAUGAACGCUAGCUACAGGCUUAACACAUGCAAGUCGCGGGGCAGCAUGGGGGUUGCUUGCAAUCCCCGAUGGCGACCGGCGCACGGGUGAGUAACGCGUAUCCAACCUGCCCUUCACCACGGGAUAACCCGGCGAAAGUCGGACUAAUACCGUAUGUUGUCCAUUGACGGCAUCCGAUUUGGACGAAAGGUUUGGCGGUGAAGGAUGGGGAUGCGUCCGAUUAGCUGGACGGCGGGGUGACGGCCCACCGUGGCGACGAUCGGUAGGGGUUCUGAGAGGAAGGUCCCCCACACUGGAACUGAGACACGGUCCGGACUGCUACGGGAGGCAGCAGUGAGGAAGAUUGGGCAAUGGGCGUAAGCCUGAACCAGCCAAGUAGCGUGCAGGAUGACGGCCCUAUGGGUCGUAAACUGCUUUUAUGCGGGGAUAAAGUGGCCCACGUGUGGGUUUUUGCAGGUACCGCAUGAAUAAGGACCGGCUAAUUCCGUG